This is a non-coding RNA of Myotis brandtii (Brandt's bat), 76 nucleotides long. The record is from Rfam. Lineage: Eukaryota; Metazoa; Chordata; Mammalia; Chiroptera; Vespertilionidae.
GGCAGUUCUUGGGUGAUGCACCCCAGAAUCGGGCUCCCUCCUCUCUGGUUCCAGUGUGUGUCACCCGAGAACCACA